GAGGCAGGCUCACUGUGAGCGGUGACUGGCGUGCCUGAGUCUGUGGAGGGAGAGCACACUCCCAGGCAUCAACUCACAUGACGCAGAUUUGAUACUUGUGGAUAGGCAGCAAGGAACAACAGGAGUUUGUGGGAGCUGCUUCCUCGAGACUCAGAAAGCUGCCGGGGUGGAUGGAGCUUUGACUGUGUGUGCCCCCGUUGUGCUGUAGAUGAGGGACCCUGAAAAGCAGCCCACCCUGGGUUUUACACCACGGGGGAACAUGAUGCAAGGAGCUCCAGAAUUGAAGGACGUCCCGUUUCUAGGGGAGGGUGGGAACAGAGCCUGAGAAUUCCAGCCUGCUCACCCUUAUCUCAGAGUGUUGCAUUCCCAGGACAUCUUCCAAGGCCACCUGGAGAGCUGUCCUGCAGUGACACACCUCAGCUUACCCAGCGUAGAAGUGAGGGGCUCAGAUUCAGCAUCCGCAGCUAUCCCCAAAUGCCGUGAUUAUUAUUCCACCAUCCAAGGCUCACAGUGAGUUAACUGUUUUCUUUCUCCUGUCAUUCAGGAGCCCAAGGGUGGUGGCUUCAGCACCCUAGGAAAUGUGCCAGCAAGGUCUACAGUAUCAGCAACUUUACCUCUCCCUCCCAAAGCUUUCUGGAGUGCUUAGUAGAAGACAGAGGACUCUAAAGUGUGAAUGUGGAAUGGAAAUCGAGGCCACUGGGAACGGCUGCGUCGAAGAGUAACUUGGGAACGCAUAGGGAUUCACAGGAUAGAUAUUGUCUGGAUAUCAGGGCGAAAUGUUAAUUAGGGAUCAAAAUGUCCUUUUAAAUUAGCUAUGUUGAAGAGAAAGGAGAAGACCAGGAAACAGAAGAAAGAUAUAUGUUAUGUGGUAUUUUGGAAUAAAUAUUUAUAGAAAACAAUGAUCUGUUUGUUUAAAAACUACCGAUCUAAAAUGCUGCCCCGUCUCAUCCCUUCUUCCUGCUUUAUUUUCCUUCUCACUGUUUAUUCCCUGACAUGUUGUAAACUACACUUAUUUAUCUUGCAAAUGUUUCCUACUAGAACGUAAGGCCCAUGAGGGCGGACGUUUUGCCUCAUUCUCUUUGGAACAGUGGACACACAGGGACUUACACAAAUAUCUGUUGAAUGAAUGAAUGUACGCUUCACAUUUGAUGACUUACUAAUGUAAUGAUGUCUGACCAAUAGAUAAAUCUUUUUCCGUAUUAACUGAUUGGACAUGUUCCUUGAAGCCAUCACUGGGGGUCUGCUCUGAAGUUUAUGGAUCACUCAGGAUGGUGGGCUCAGGGCUCAGGUGGGUCCUAGGUUGCCUUGUUAGUAUCAGUCCAAGGUGUCUAUCAGAGUUGCUACCAAAAAGACGAUUUUCCAAGUCUUCAAAAAUGAACUGUUAGGGAGGAU
Molecule: long non-coding RNA, 1392 nt
Filed under: Homo sapiens (human)
Lineage: Eukaryota; Metazoa; Chordata; Mammalia; Primates; Hominidae
Description: HSALNT0402807
Source: RNAcentral